Molecule: transfer RNA, 90 nt
Filed under: Paraurantiacibacter namhicola
Lineage: Bacteria; Pseudomonadati; Pseudomonadota; Alphaproteobacteria; Sphingomonadales; Erythrobacteraceae
Description: Altererythrobacter namhicola tRNA-Ser
Rfam family: tRNA
About the family: Transfer RNA (tRNA) molecules are approximately 80 nucleotides in length.
Source: RNAcentral
GGAGAGGUGCCGGAGUGGUCGAACGGGGCAGUCUCGAAAACUGUUGAGCUCGCAAGGGUUCCGAGGGUUCGAAUCCCUCCCUCUCCGCCA